GGUGCUCAUGGGGCGGGUGCUGGCCUUUUUGGUGUUUAAGGUACCUAAAGAGCGCCCCGUAUUUGCCGAAGGCAUGGGCUCGGUGGCCCUCUGCGUGCUG
This 100-nucleotide transfer RNA is filed under the name Cesiribacter andamanensis AMV16. Its description in RNAcentral is "tRNA-Leu". The record is from RNAcentral. Lineage: Bacteria; Pseudomonadati; Bacteroidota; Cytophagia; Cytophagales; Cesiribacteraceae.